GACGAACGCUGGCGGCGUGCCUAAUACAUGCAAGUCGAGCGGGGAUUAUGCUUGAUCGCUUCGGUGAGACGGCAUAUAUCCUAGCGGCGGACGGGUGAGUAACGCGUGGGUAAUCUACCUCGUAGUUCGGGAUAACAGGCCGAAAGGCUUGCUAAUACCGGAUGAGUUCAUGCUUAUGCAUAUAGGCAUGAAGAAAGGGCUAGCCCGCUAUGAGAUGAGCCCGCGUCCCAUUAGCUUGUUGGUGGGGUAAUGGCCUACCAAGGCAACGAUGGGUAGCCGGCCUGAGAGGGUGUACGGCCACACUGGGACUGAGACACGGCCCAGACUCCUACGGGGGCAGCAGUAGGGAAUUUUCGGCAAUGGGCGAAAGCCUGACCGAGCGACGCCGCGUGAGGGACGAAGGCCUUCGGGUUGUAAACCUCUGUCUGGGGGAUGAGAACGGACGGUACCCCGGAGGAACGCCCCGGCUAACGUACGUGCCAGCAGCCGCGGUAAGAGUACUCUAU
This 506-nucleotide ribosomal RNA is filed under the name uncultured bacterium. Its description in RNAcentral is "bacterial SSU rRNA". It matches the Rfam family "Bacterial small subunit ribosomal RNA", at positions 28 to 529 of the family's 1533-position model. The record is from RNAcentral.